UAUUAUUUGUAAACCUUUAUCAAAACAGAAGCAGCAUAUCCAGCAAUUUGUCAAUGUUGUAAUCGGUGGUACUGCAGCACGUGCCAUUCGGAGGUCAAAUUCUGUACAAGUAAGGAUUAAAUAAAUCAAUCGCCUACGAAACAGCCAGCAUAUGAAAGCUUUUUGCAAGUCGUCGUUCUCAAAAUGAAACUUUUGUCCUGCCAAGAACUUUCUACUGUAUUGAAAUAAGACAUGUUUCCAGAAUGAAAGUGGAAUGUUUUUCAAACGAAAUUUCAUUUUGUCACUACAUGAUGGUCUGAAUUUGAACGACAGCUGACGACAGAUGGCAAUACCUGCUAACACGUAGAAGUGAAUAUAACGACAUGACUAUCAUCUUGCACCUUUUAUCAAGCGUAUUCUGGAAUUCGUAGCUUAUAAAAUUGAAUAACUUGGGACCUAUACAAGUGCAUCUUACUGAAUGAAGACUUUUCGUCCACCACAAGGACAACUGUUUUCUUGGUUCUGCGUACCUCGGCAAUUUACACUAAGGAUGUUGAAUGUGCGUAAUUAUCUGUCAAUGACAUCAAAACAUCAGGAAUUCAAGGGCAUGGUGUCUUUUAAAAUGUUUAGACCGAAGUGAUUGCAACAAAACUGGACGAUUCUGAAGUUUCAUCAAGCGUAACCUUGGAACCCGAAGUCUUUACAAAUUAUGGACAAAGAUUCAAAAGGUGCUAUGAUAUCGUAAACUUGUGAUUUAUACCAAGUUUAAAAUGUAUCGAUUAAAAUGAUAAAAAUUGGAUUAUCAAAAUCUGCACAUUAGAAAUGAUAUUUAAUAUAAUCAACAUUUUUGGCUGCUAAUAUAUUUUUGAAAUGAUUGCUUCCAUUGUAACUCCAAAUGAUGGAUAACAUUAUUUAGAACUCUUCUGAAAAAUGCAGAAAUUCGUUUACAAAUGUUUGAUGUUCAACGAAGU
Molecule: long non-coding RNA, 950 nt
Organism: Argiope bruennichi
Lineage: Eukaryota; Metazoa; Arthropoda; Arachnida; Araneae; Araneidae
Exons: 5
Source: RefSeq, a predicted model, not a curated record